UUUUUUUUUUUUUUUAAACAGCACAUAAAGGUGAAGGGACUACUUCUCUGCAGAACAGAUAUGCUAGAGAUUAACUUGAGUUGUUCUCUUUCACCCUAAAUUUUCUUCUGCCUCCAUCGUGCUCCGAAGUCACGAUACAUCUGUGACAGAAUAACUCCCAUGGUAACAGACUGACAUCAUAAACACCAGAUUAAGACUUGGCUGCAAAGCCAAAGGAGAUGAUGAGCUGGGAAGGAAGAAGCUAUAAUUCAAACAAAUCUCUUCCAUAACAGCUAUGGGAAUACUAAACAUUACUGGCCAAGUAAAUUGCCUUUUGUAGAAGUGUUCCCUUUUUUGAAGUUUGCCCCUGUGUGAAAGUCCCUCUGUAAGUCAGAACCUUAGCAUUAUUUUAAUGUACUGUUCUGGAUUUAAUAAUCUCAUGCUUCAGACAGUAGUCUGUUACCAUGGGAAUGACAGCAGCACAAAUGCAGGAUUACGGCUAUCAAGCAGGAGAAAAGAAAUUAUGAAUAAGCCUCGUUAUGUUCAAUAAUUAGCAGCGACAUGGAAAAAAACAAAACCAUGAAUUUAGGUUGAUGCAUUUAUCUCAGUGUUUGAAUACAACUCUGAGUGUGUUAUUGCUUUAAAAUGAGAUUCUAACAAACUGCCAAAAAAAUUCUUGACUAGCAGUUGCUACUCAGUGCUGUAAUUUUAAAAAUCCAUCCUGUCCAUCCCUUUCUUCUAUUUUAAUUCUUUCCCUGCAGAAGAUUGGGAGCUAAUGGGUAAUAUACAACAUCCCAAGAUGGAUUCUGGUACCUUGAGCCAACAUUUCUGGGGAAAAGCAUGGUGAUACUGAACAUUACCAGUUUCUCUGCCUCAGUUAACUUAACUGUAGAAGAAACCAUUCCUGCAAAGAGGACGCUGCUCUCUCCACCAUGGAAAGUCUACGUGUCAAGAUGUAGAAUGGUCACUGUAGAAUGGUCCUGCUAAUACGCACAAGGGAUAAAGCCUUUCUUCUAACGUGACAGUAGAUUUACCAUAAUGACUAAGGAAGUAUUCUAGGCAGUUAGAACUUUUCUUAGCAAGGCCCGUGACUUUACCAACUGCAGAAGAGAUCAGCAAAAUGGUGAAAACACAUUUUGAGACGUCCAGGGCUGCUAAAGCAGUCCUUCCCUAAAUCAAAGACUACACUCGAAUACAAAAGCAUGUACUAAGCCAUGCCAGAGCAUAAAGUCUUCCCUCAAUUUUGGGGGGAAAUGAGGGUACUAUGAGACCUCUGGCAUCCUGUGGAAUCAUCAGCUGCCUCCGUGAAAGUAGCAAGGUUAACAUGACCCCAUCUAAAGCAGGUGGCAAGAACAAAAUCUGAAUCCACUCUUAAACUGGUGAACAUCUGACAGCUCCUUGGUACUUUCAGACUUCUCCACUCCCCUCUUCCAUGAGGCUUCUGCAUUCUAAGGCAAUGGUACAACACAUCAUUGGAGGAAAGUAAUUUUAGAACGUGCCAUCCAAAUUAACUGGUCGUGAAUAGGCUCUGAUUAAAAUAUAAAGAGCUUUUAAAAUAAUUUAAAAUGAUUCACUGGAACUAAUUUAGAGAUAUUUUAAUCUCUGAAUGUGCAAUGAACUGUAGUCUCCCUUGGCCCCAGCCUUUCCUUGGAGACGGACAUUUCUAGUUAGGCCUUUGCCAUGGGUAAGAGGUACCUGAGCCGUGCAAGCCACACUACCCAUAUGCCUGUGUUUCCCUCUGCCUUUCUGAUAUAUGUUUUUCCAACUCUGACCCUGUUCUCUUCCCACUUUCCAAACCAGACUGUGUAUACUUCCCCUUCUCAGUGACUAUCGGCUCAUCUGUUUACUAUGCUAGAUGGCUAGAUAACUUUGGACACAACAAUGGGACAAUUAUUUAAAGAAUCACAUGAGAUCAAAAGACCUCAGCUUACAUUCUUUAGUCAUUUGUUUGAAUUCCAUUUUAGAUUAAACCAAGGAACACUUUCCCAACAUAAUGUACUAGCAUAUUCAUGGGAAUUCCUAGAGCCACUUGUGAACCAAUACCUAAGCUGCACUUAUCUAAGCUUUUCCAACAUAACUAUGAAAUUCAAGGGGAUGUCUGUGGCUUUGGGAAAGUGCCUUCUUAAGACUCACUACAGAUUCCUUCACGAAAUCCUUUGGUGCCUGGUCUCCCAGAUUUCCUAAAUCUCAGCCAAAGACUCUUCAGAUAAGAGGAAGAGAGCUGGUCUCUAUUGCCCUGCUUUCUAGACCUUGCUGUUUCCUCCUGGAUGAAGAGCUGGAGUUGAAAAGAUGAAAUGAGGGAAAAAUCCAUAUAUUGGAACAGUUUGAUAAGCACAGAAUUACCUGUGUUUAUCCUCCCAGCAAUCUACAAGGUAGGCAUCAUUAUACCCACUUGAGAAAUAAAGAAAUAGAGGAAGAAAAAGAUAUCCAACAAUUAGUAAUAGAAGAGUAGAAGUUAAACUCAAUACAACGCCAAAACCCAUGAUCUUUUCUGCUAUACCAAAAUCCAGUCUUCCUGAAAGCAGGAACCAUGUCUUUCUGUUCUCCUGUGUAAUCUCAGAAAUGACAUAUACAAAGUGUUCUUGACAAAACACAUGUAGCAAGUUAAAAGGCAAAGGAUUUACAGGAAAUGAUCUAGCUUCUUUUGUCAAAAGACAAUCCCUUUUGCCACACCAAACCAGAGAACAUAUCUCAACCAUAACUUACAACCACAGCAUCAGAGACAAGGGAUGGAGCCUUACACAUCCAUCCGUUCUGAAGUUGAUGUAUCCAAGCAUAAGAUGGCCACUUACCUAAAAGAAAGAGGAGAGAAAACAUUGUAAAUGCAGAUGCUGACAUCUUAGAAACUUUAUCUACAGAAAUAUUAAAAUUACUUUCAUUUUAUAAUCAAUAUAAUCUGAGCAUAAUAAUAGAAGGAGAGCAAUUUCUUCAUCUCUUUGAAUUUUUAAAGGCCAUCUCGUAUUUUUUUGUUACAGAGUACUUCAAUUCCGGUCUUUUUCCCACAUUCUCCUUGAAUACGUUUUUGUUCUUGAGAUGCUACAACAUCUUUAAAAGACUAAUGAGUCCUCUUCUCCAGAAAAUUAAUACAGACACCUCUCUCAUAUAGCUUCAGUGGGUUCAAAGCCUUCUUGCAGUUUUCCCAGUGACCCUAUAUGGCAAACAUCUGAUAUGACACCAGACUGUACAAUAGCCCUUAAUCUUAAAUAUGCUUCAGACUGCUUCAGAAUCCCACAAAAACUUUAAAUUCCUAAAAAAAAGAUGUGUAAUAUGUGUACAAAACUGCAUCCAGCGAAUACAAAAGGUAUAUUCUUUUUUAACAUAUGUGACAUGUGAAAACUCGGUCAAGACUAGGUAGCAAAGAAAGUCUCCAGAAAUAACAAAGAAAUGACAACUAUCUGGAUGCCAACUAGAUCUGUUAGAACAUUCAAAUUUUAAAUAAGUUAAAAAACAAACAAACAAACAAACAAACCAAAGAAUUAUCAGGAAAACCUAUAAAACAAAAGGGGUGCGUGUGUGUGUGUGUGUGUGUGUGUCUAUCUGUGUGUCCGUUCCUGUCCAUGUGUCUAUUGUAUGUUGAGAUAAGGAGCUCUACUAGGUAACAUAUUAUUAGAAAGCUUAAAAAAAAAAGGAAGAAACCUUCUAUAAGAAUACCAUGGUUUUGUUGCAUAAAACAAAACAAAUAGAACAAAACAAAUAGCUCAGAAACUGCAGAAACCAAACCAGGUAUACAUGGAAAAUUAGUAUAUGAUAAGUUAACAUCUCUAAUCAGUGGAGAAAAAGAUGAAUUUUUAAAGAAAUGGUUGGACAAUUAGAUACCACUGGAAAAAAUUAAAAUUGCAUCCAUAUCCCACAU
Molecule: long non-coding RNA, 3832 nt
Filed under: Canis lupus familiaris (dog)
Lineage: Eukaryota; Metazoa; Chordata; Mammalia; Carnivora; Canidae
Description: lncRNA (ENSCAFG00845004425.1)
Source: RNAcentral